GUAACCCUGCAUUUCCUGUGGCUAACUCACCCAGUCUGCACAUCCCUGGACACUGGGCAAUUUAGCAUGGCCAAUCCACCUAAACUAUACAUUUUUGGACUUGAAAUUGGAGCAAACCCACACAGGCGCUGGGAGAUAUGUAAACUGCACACAGACUGUUGCCUGAGGAUGGAAUCAAACCUGGGGCCUGGCGCUGUGCGGCAGCAGUGCUAACCACUGUUCUGUCGUAUUAUAGGGAGCAGACCAUCUCAUUCACUUUCAAUUCAUUCAAUCCUAGAUCUUUGCGGUUUUUUUUUGCCAUAUGCUUACUGCUUUACUCCUUAAAAUAUUUGAAACUGUGUGCCCUGAUCAUGUUGUCUCCCAUCUCGUAGGCUUUGAUUUCCUCACUGGGGACCCUAUGCCUUGGUGUUCUCUCAGUACCCUAUUGCUAGCUGGCCAAAUGAGAUUAACUGGGAUGUUCACUGCACUUGUUCUUACUAAGCUUCAUAGAGAAGAUAGAUUUAAGAAUUGUUGAGAGGCCAGGUCAAUUUUUACUUCACAAGUAAAAUGACUCAUUUACUGCAAUAAUAGUUAUACAGCCAUGAUAAUUAUGAAUGGAUCAAAUUGAAGCAGGUGCGCUGAUGACCUAGGUCUUUGUGUACAGGGCAAAUGCCCAGCAUUUGAGGAUGAUCUGAAACAUGGCAAUAUUGUGAACUGUGAGGAGGAUAGUGUAGAACAUUGACAAGGUGGUGGAAUGCCACACAUGGUGAAUGUAAUUUAGUGCAAAAUGUGAAAUGAUCAAUUUUUUUCAGGAAGAACAGAGACAAAGGUGCAAUUCUGAAGGUACAGGUGCGAAAGGGCCAGGGUAUAGUGUGCAAACAUUUUUAAGAUAAGGUAGGUUGAGAGUAAUUAAUAAAGCACACAGCAUCCAAGGCUUCAUUAAGAGAGAAUGAAGUUUAAGCAAGUUAUAUUCAUCAUACUUGGAAUACUGAUUCACCCUCAACUGUAGUAUUGCAUCCAGUUCUGGUUGUUACAUUUUAGGAAAGAUGCAAAGGUGUUAAAGAGGGUGCAAAAAAAGUCUUGAAAUCCAGGAAUGAGGACCUUCAAUUGUAUAGAUACACAUGAGAAUUUGGAACUGUUUUCCUUGAAGUGAAGGUUUGAAAGAAAUUUGAUGCAUUUAAAAUCUUAUGGGGGUUUGUGGAAUCGGGGUUAGGCUAGCAGGGUUGGACAGUGAAGCCGGAGCUGAGGAGGUUGGUGGGUGGAGUAUGAGUUGGGCAGGAUUGGGGUUAGAGUAUGGGUUGUGGUGGGGAAAAUGGUGAGAGGUGUGGAAUUUGGUUUGGGGUGGAAUCUAGAGUGUUUGAAGGGAUAGAGUCUGUGUUGGGCAGUGGGACAGAGUUUGGGGUGUGGAGUAGAGUCUAGGUUGGGAUAUCAGGAAAGAUGUCAGAGUUGGGUUGGGUGUUUGGGGAGAGUCAGGAUUGGAGGUGGGAGACAUUGUGGUUGGGUUGUGGGAUUGAGGGCCAACAAGGAGAGUUGGACUAGGGGGAAGUGAAGUCUGGGUGAGGUAUCGGGUUGGUUGGAGGAGAGUGGAAAGAGCAGUUAAGUUGUGUAGUUACUUAAGAGUUAGUCAUCUUUUAAUCUGUUUAGUGUUUUCCUGAAUAGCUUUCCAGGCAAGUAAGUCAAAUCUUCACAAGUCUUGAUUGUAACUGAAAGUCACAAAUUCCGGUAUAAGAUUUUUUUGUGGUGACUUAUAUAGCUCCUGGGACAAAGACUCUCAUUCUGGAAGAGAUAGUUACCUUGAGAAAAAUUGUAUUUUGCUACUUAAGGUACACAACAAAAUCUGAUUUCUGGUUGGCGCUACAGGGUGGGCACCUGUAAAUUGCCCAUGCUGGCACAUGCUGCUUAACCAAAAUGUGAUGAUUGCAUCUGUAUGACUGACCAUGGGAGAUGGGAAAAUCUCUUCUGUUACACUGUAAUGCAAGGACCCAAGAAUCUUGUGCCUUGCCUUAGUAUCCACCUCUCUUCUUUUGGGCAUUUCCCUUCUGCUUGCUUUCUUAUAUUUCAAACGUUAUUGUAAAAUUCUGUGAAGUUUACUUUAUUCAGUAAUAUAUUGAUUAUGGCUUAUAUCAAAAGAAAUUUCUGCAUUUCAGAGUGAAGCUUCUGAUUUGAGUGUACUUCCCACAUUAUCAGAUAGGGUAGCAAUUGCUGUGAAGCUCAGUGUUCUCGAUUGUUAAACUUAGCAACUAACAGUUGAUAGUUUUGGGACAAAUUGCUUCAUUUUGUGUGGUAAAUGUUUAUUAUUUUGGACAGAACAAGUAAUCCUCGUCAGACUAUCUAUUGUAGCAUGGAGUUCCAGCUUACGUAGCAGGGUAAAGAAUACCAAGCAUUUCAUUUUUAUUCGGUAGGGUAAAACCUAUACUAAUGCAGAGUUUUUUUUUUUUGUUGAGCAGCGCAGAAUAAAGGGGUAGGUUUUGUUAAAUUGCAUGAUUGAUAUGAGUCACAUUCUUGGAACUGGAACUUCGUACCUCAGCAAUCAUAUCUGUAGUGGGAUAUUAUUGAUUGGUCAGAGUUGCUAUUGUCUUGAUAGCAAUAUUCUCCACAGCUGAUGAUUUAUUGGAGUAUGAUUGUUUUUAGUUUGGUGAUUAUGUAGAAAUAUAUUUUCAUUGUUGGAAUGGAAUGUUUAACGAUGACUAGAGGGGAAGGUAGCUUUGAUUCCAGUUUUAAAUUAACCAAUCCACUGUACAAGCCCUGAAUUAGUGGAUAUAAUGAUAUUGCAUAUAUUUUCUGUCAGCAAAUGACACUGUGCUUCAAUAAAUGAGCAGUAGUUAUUAUACCAGGCAACAUGUGGACUGAGGAUGUGGAGUCUACGUUAAUAUGCAAUUAAUUUUCCGGCAAAAUGGCAGCAGGGUAAGUCGUUCCAUUUAGAGCUCCACUCUGCUUGCCAGUUCUCUUUCUCUUUCUUUCUUCCUUUGUCCUUCCCCUUUUUUAUUCUCUCUUCUUCUCUCUCCCUCUGUAGUAGUUCUAUCUCCCACCCCUGUUAACUACCUACCUAAGGAAUCGGGAAGGAGCCAGGUUGUGACCAGGAACGAUGUGGCGGGAGCUGUGUCCUGCGGCGACAGUGGAUAAAGAGUGGCUUGCCCUCACCAGCCCAAUGAGAUGGCCCGGAGCAGGACGCUGGCGGAGGCAUGACGAGGGCUGGAAUGCCCGGAGCGGGAUGGCAGCAGUGGAAAGGAAAAUUGGACUCUCUUAAGCUAUUUCUUUUUAUCUUAUUGUAAGCUAAUGUGAAUGGUGCCAUGUAUGUACGGUGAAGGUAUGCACUUUUCACUGUAUUUAGUCUUUUUAUUUGAACCAGUUCUGAUCAAAGAUGCACACCUGAAAUAUUAACAUGUCUUUUCUCUUUCCAGUCUUGACUCUCAUGCUGUAUAUAUCAACACAUCUUGUUUUUACUUCAGAUUUUGUGUUUAUGUAUAUUUAAGUAUUUUUAUAUUCAUGUUUUUUUGUAACACUGUAGAUUGGUCUCUGUUAGAAACUUCAGUGGAGCCAGUUUUGAAGCAUAUUUGCAAUACUAUACUACAUUUUAUCUUGCAUCUACAGGCUUAAUUCUUUAUUCAGAGUGAAGGCAGCAGCCCUGCAUGACAGGCUCCAAUACAAAGUUGUAUUAUCCAUCUGUAUAGUAGUUAUCUCAAAUAUUGCAGCAUAAUAAUGUGUAGGGUACCAGCACAAUUUUUAAAAAUCAUGGUGAUGUCACAUUAUGUAGCUCAUUGGUAAUCACUUGAAAAGUAUUAUCAAAGUUGGUGUUCAUUGUUCGGUUUUUUUUUUAAAAGAAUGUCUUGUUGUUUCCAGUAUUUGUAGCGUCAAGAUUUAUGGGUAAAUCAAGAGAGGGAUUAGAGUUCCUGCCCCAUCCAUCACCUGCAAAAUUAUAUAUUUCUUCCUAAUCCCUUUGCUCAUGUCUUGCAAAGUAAAAUAAGGUGAAUUUUUGUUGUCAAGGUCAGUAAUUAUUGCCGAUCACUGGUUGUCCAUGUGAAGGUGGUGAUAACCUGCCUUUUUGAACUACUGCUGUCCAUCUGGUGUAAGACCAUAAGAUACAGGAGCAGAAUUAGGCCAUUCGGCCUAUUGAGUCUGCUCCACCAUUUGAUCAAACUUGUUCUACCACCUUUUCCUCAUAACCUUGAUCCCUUUAAUCCAAAAUCUAUCCAUCUCUGCCUUAAAUACAAUCAAUUACUUGGCCUCCACAGUCUUCUAUGGCAGAGUUCCACAGAUUCACUACCCUCUCGCUGAAGAAAUUUCUCCUCAUCUCCGUUCUGAAGAGUUGUACCUUCACUCUGAGGCUGUGUUGUCAGGUCCUAGUCUGUCCUACUGGUGGAAACAUCUCUACAUUCACUCUAUCCGGGUGUCUCAGUAAAUAUCAAUGAGAUCCCCCUUAUCCUUCUAAAAUAACAGUACAGACCCAGAGUCCUCGACUGUUCCUCGUAUGACAAACCCUUCAUUCCUGGGAUCAUUCUUGUACACCUCUAGACCCCAUCCAAUGCCAGCACGUCCUUUCUUAGAUAAGGGGCCCAAAGCUGCUCACAAUUGUGCACCUGCAGAACUGAUAGGAAGGAGGUUUCAGGCUUUUGAUCCUGUGACAGUGAAUGAACAGUAAUAUAGUUUCAAGUCAGGAUGGUUUGUGGCUUUGUGAUGAAAUGCUUAUGUUGGCAUUACCAUGUAUUUGCUGUCUUGUCCUUCUAUUGAGCAGAACUCUUGCACCUUGGCAAGUUGCUGCAGUGCAGUGCACAUGGUACACAGUGCUGCUACUAUGCAUCGGAGGUGAAGGGAGUAAAUGUCGUGGUUGGUGUGCCAAUCAAAAGGGCCAAUGUGUCCUGAAUGGUGUUGAGCUACUUGUGUGUUCUUGAAGCUACACUCAUUGAAGCAAAAAGAGAGUGUUCCAUCAUGUUAUUGUCUUGUGCCUUGUAGAUGGUUGACGGGCUCAAAGAAGUAAGGUGGCGAGGAAUUCCCAUCUCCAGACCUGUAUUUGUAACUGCAGUAUUUAUAUGACCAUAUCAGUUUCUGGUCAGUGGUCACCCCGAGGAUAUCGCUGAUGGGGGAUUCAGUCACGGUAAUGCUAUUGAAUUAGUUAGAUUCUUCCCUGUUGAAAAUGGUCAUUGCUUGGAACUUGUGUGGCAUAAUGUUACUUGUCACUUAUUAACGCAAGUCUAAAGGUGAAAAGGUGAUGCUGCAUGUGGACACAGACUGCUUCAGUAACUCAGGUUUUGAAUGGAACCCAAGUUUCUCCUUUUUCCUUUAUUGCUGCUUUUGCUAUUUACCUUAAAUUUGUGCCCUCACUUGAUCUUUUAUCAGUGAGAAAGUGUUUGUAUUUUUCCCAACUGUGCAGACCCCUCAAUUUUAAGCACGUCCAUCAAAUCUCCUUUCAAUGUUCUCCCAAAAAAAACACCAGUAUCUCCAAUUUAUUUAUCUAUCUCAUCCCCGGAACCAUUAUCAGACUUGAUUCUGCAUCCUUUCUAAUUCCUUUGCGUCUUUGCUGAAGUGUCUGACUCAGACCUGAACACUAUUCCAGUUGAGAUCAAACCAGUAUUCUGUGCAAUCUAAUAGACUUCCUUGGGUCUAUACUCUGUCUCUAUUAAUAAAGCUGUGGAUGAUGCAAAGUUUGUUAAACACUCUCUCAACCUGUGCUGUUAGCUUCUGUGACUUGUGCACCAACACCUACGUUCCUCUGCUCCUGCGCACUCUUGUCUCAAUGUUCAUCCUACCAAAGUGAAUCUCUUCACACUUCUCUGCAUUCAAUUUCAUUUGCCACUUGAUCUCCAAAUUUGUGAUACCCUUUUGAAGGAAAAUUAGCUGUGGCUCGUUUCUUUAGUCGGUAACAUUCUUGCUUCCGAACCACAAGGUAUAGUGCCCACGUUCUCGAGGAUGGAGUGCGUAAAAUGGUUGAAUCCCCAGUGUGUUAAGGAGGGAAGCCUGCAGGUGAGGGAUUCUCUCAUGGCCAGAACUUCCAAGCAAGCAUUAAAGCUAGCUUGGUUGCUGGCAGGGAAGGAUCAUCCCAACAUAUCCUUCACAUAUCUGGAUUCUCCACAGGAUGCCGUGGCAAUCUUGAGACAGCUGCAGUGGAGAAGAGGCAAUUGUCCAGCACCUUCUGUAAUGUGAAUUUGCGUAUAGAAUUUGGGCAAAGAUGCAGUGGUUUCUUUGUAAAAUAUAAUCCUGAGAAAUUCUAAGGUAGAUCCCUGUGCUGCAUGAGCUUUUCCCAGGGACGCCCACUACAAUAAACAUCAGCUGCUGAUGAAAGACCCCAGCUUAGUGAAGGACGUUCUUUGGUCUACCUGAAAUUUGUUGGUCCUCCAUUAUAAAGUGCUGUCCAUGAGUUUGUGUUGCAAACUGGCACGUUACAUGACCUAGGACUACCUGCCAAAGGAUGCAGUCAAGUUUGGCACAGCUACUGCAGAAGCUUAAUGGAAAAAGCCCACUGUCUAAAGACAUCCCCACCAUAGUACCCUGGCCUCAACCGGUGUGAAAUCCCCAGGAUUGUAUGCAGAAAAGAAUGUUUGACAUGAAAUAUAAAUGUAUGUUGUAACUAUGUAAAUGUGGUGAAACACCUGAGUCCCAUGUACUACAUUGAAAGAAAUAAAUGUAUUACUUUAUUUAACAUCAAAUUUGAACUGUUAUGUAAUGGUGCCUUUAUAACUUCUAUAAAUAAAGUAUAUUUUUGAAAAAAAAGUUAGUUGUAGAACAUAGUAUCCAAUGUUUCCGCAGAGAUGUACAAGACUUUGUGAAAUUGACUUGUGGAGUAUGGAUUUUUUUUUCCUUCAUGGGAUAUGGGCAUUGCUGACUAGGCCAGCACUUAUUGUCCAUCCUGAAUUGCCAUGGCUAAGGUGAUGGUGAGCUUCCUUCUUGAACACUACGUUGUAGGGAGCCACAGUUCUAUUUAAGGAGUUCCAGGACUUUGAUCCAGUAACAAUGAAGAAAUUCAAGGUAGGUCCAAGUCAGAAUGAUGUGCGGCUUGGAGGAGAACUUGUGGUAUUGCCAUAUUUGCUUCCCUUGUCCUUCACAGUGAUAAAACUCAGAGGAGCCGUGGUGAGUUACUGAAGUACAUGUUUUAAAUGGUACACACUGCUGCCACGGUGUGUCAAUGAAGGGAAUGAAUGUUCAAGGUGGUGGAUGGGGCACAGAAUCAAGUGGAUUGCAUGGAUGGUCUGUUAGAAGCCGAUGUGAAUGAGUAGGAUAAGCAACAGUGGCAUUUCUUUGAAGUAAGGAGUCUUGGGUAAAAGGAAAAGACAAUAAUACUGUUAAGAGAUGGGGGUGAAAGUAAAUGGGAUAGAAAAGGGAAGGCUAAAGGUUAAGGGAGAAACAGCAUGAACAGGGGAAAAGAAUCUAAAACACAUUAGCAGUUAGUCAUUGGUCAGCCAAUCUGUGAUUGGAGCCAUUGUGUCCCUCUUUGAGCUUGUUUCCUUCUCUGGAAUCAUCUGCCCUGGUGAAGCAAUUCCUGUUGGUCCAGUGUUGAGGUCAAAGAUGAUUUUCUUCAAGUAGGAUUUCGGGAUACCUUUGAAACAUUUCUGUUGGCCACCACGUGUUCUUCGGCCAGUUAUGAGUUAGGUGCAAAGCGCGAUUUGGGUUUACACCCUUUGUUAAGCAGAUAUUAAAUUAGUUAGAACUUUGAGGCCUCAGCAUUUUUCUUUUAACAUGUUCUUUGUAGGUGGUAUGAUCUGCAGUCAAAACCAAACAAAGUGGCAAAGAACAGAGGUCAGCUGCAACUUGCAUUUGAGUUCCUACGUAACAACAUGACAGCAAGUUCAUAUGAGCUAUUGAAGAGAAGACCUCAGUCUGUGUUUGAUAAGUUUAAGGACAAAGUAACUUCCUUAAAGUAUGGAAUGACUCAUGAGAUUUUACCAUCUGAAAAGCCUAGCACUAGCCUGAAGCAUCACAAAAAUGGAAAAAUGUCAAAAUCGCUCAGUCACGUGCAAAUGGACUCCAGGGCUGAAAUAUUUACUGCACCAGAGAUAGACAAGCAAACUGGAUCUGAGGGUCUCUCUCACAUUUUCCACAAACACUUUGGGGAUGAACAACCUAAGAUGCAUUUAAACAAUGCAGGUGUCCAUACAGAAUAUGCAGGUCAAAACCAGUCAGACAAAAUAGCAACUUUGAAGCUGGAGAAAGCAACUGCACUACAGCUACAUCCCAACAAUGUUGAACAUACCGUUUUACCCAAAUGUGCUGCGAAAGCUGAUAGAUCCUAUGUCUCAGCUACUUAUAACUCUCCACUGGAAACUGCAAAGCCCCACCACUUUGAAGAUAACCCAAGGUUAGCAUCUUUUGUAAUCGCUGGUGAAGGACGAGAUGUUUCAUUUGCGGGAUGGAAAGUAAAGCCUACAACUUGUUGCACCCAUUGUUUUCGUCAAGCUAAUUCAAAAAGCAGGUGACCGCUUCAACAUGUCCACAUGCGCUGUAAUGGCAUGCUGUUCACAUCACCUCGGGACUUGCAGCUUGCUUAUGAAAGAACACCUCCACAUACCUUUCUUUAUAUGUGUUCAAUAAAGCAAUGGUGCGCAUCAUG
Rhincodon typus (whale shark) is the source of this 8518-nucleotide long non-coding RNA. RefSeq lists it as uncharacterized. Lineage: Eukaryota; Metazoa; Chordata; Chondrichthyes; Orectolobiformes; Rhincodontidae. The transcript is spliced from 3 exons. The record is from RefSeq and is a predicted model, not a curated record.